UACGUAGGGGGCUAGCGUUGUCCGGAAUCAUUGGGCGUAAAGAGCGUGUAGGCGGUCCGGUAAGUCCGCUGUGAAAGUCGGGGGCUCAACCCUCGAAUGCCGGUGGAUACUGUCGGGCUAGAGUGCGGAAGAGGCGAGUGGAAUUCCUGGUGUAGCGGUGAAAUGCGCAGAUAUCGGGAAGAACACCCGUGGCGAAGGCGGUUCUCUGGGACGGUACUGACGCUGAGACGCGAAAGCGUGGGGAGCGAACAGG
Molecule: ribosomal RNA, 253 nt
Filed under: uncultured bacterium
Lineage: Bacteria
Description: partial 16S ribosomal RNA
Rfam family: Bacterial small subunit ribosomal RNA
Source: RNAcentral